CCUACGGGAGGCAGCAGUGGGGAAUUUUGGACAAUGGGCGAAAGCCUGAUCCAGCCAUGCCGCGUGAGUGAAGAAGGCCUUCGGGCUGUAAAGCUCUUUUAGUCGGAAAGAAAGAGUUGCAAUGAAUAAUGGUGAUUUAUGACGGUACCGACAGAAAAAGCACCGGCCUAACUACGUGCCACAGCCGCGGUAAUACGUAGGGUGCGAGCGUUAAUCGGAAUUACUGGGCGUAAAGGGUGCGCAGGCGGUCUUGCGAGUCAGAUGUGAAAGCCCCGGGCUUAACCUGGGAAUUGCGUUUGAAACUACAAGGCUAGAGUGCAGCAGAGGGGAGUGGAAUUCCAUGUGUAGCAGUGAAAUGCGUAGAGAUGUGGAAGAACACCGAUGGCGAAGGCAGCUCCCUGGGUUGACACUGACGCUCAUGCACGAAAGCGUGGGGAGCAAACAGGAUUAGAUACCCUGGUAGUCCACGCCCUAAACGAUGUCAACUAGUUGUCGGAUCUAAUUAAGGAUUUGGUAACGUAGCUAACGCGUGAAGUUGACCGCCUGGGGAGUACGGUCGCAAGAUUAAAACUCAAAGGAA
Molecule: ribosomal RNA, 580 nt
Filed under: uncultured beta proteobacterium
Lineage: Bacteria; Pseudomonadati; Pseudomonadota; Betaproteobacteria
Description: bacterial SSU rRNA
Rfam family: Bacterial small subunit ribosomal RNA
Source: RNAcentral